RNAcentral lists this ribosomal RNA (484 nucleotides) under uncultured bacterium. RNAcentral's name for it is "partial 16S ribosomal RNA". It matches the Rfam family "Bacterial small subunit ribosomal RNA", at positions 30 to 507 of the family's 1533-position model. The record is from RNAcentral.
AUUGAACGCUGGCGGCAGGCCUAACACAUGCAAGUCGAGCGGUAGAGAGAAGCUUGCUUCUCUUGAGAGCGGCGGACGGGUGAGUAAUGCCUAGGAAUCUGCCUGGUAGUGGGGGAUAACGUUCGGAAACGGACGCUAAUACCGCAUACGUCCUACGGGAGAAAGCAGGGGACCUUCGGGCCUUGCGCUAUCAGAUGAGCCUAGGUCGGAUUAGCUAGUUGGUGGGGUAAUGGCUCACCAAGGCGACGAUCCGUAACUGGUCUGAGAGGAUGAUCAGUCACACUGGAACUGAGACACGGUCCAGACUCCUACGGGAGGCAGCAGUGGGGAAUAUUGGACAAUGGGCGAAAGCCUGGUCCAGCCAUGCCGCGUGUGUGAAGAAGGUCUUCGGAUUGUAAAGCACUUUAAGUUGGGAGGAAGGGCAGUAAAUUAAUACUUUGCUGUUUUGACGUUACCGACAGAAUAAGCACCGGCUAACUCUGUG